RNAcentral lists this RNase P RNA (356 nucleotides) under Microbacterium ginsengisoli. RNAcentral describes it as "RNase P RNA component class A". It matches the Rfam family "Bacterial RNase P class A". Rfam says of the family: Ribonuclease P (RNase P) is a ubiquitous endoribonuclease, found in archaea, bacteria and eukarya as well as chloroplasts and mitochondria. RNAcentral also lists the same sequence under 3 other names. Lineage: Bacteria; Bacillati; Actinomycetota; Actinomycetes; Micrococcales; Microbacteriaceae. The record is from RNAcentral.
UGGGUCGGCCAGACGGUCGCGUCGCGGGAGACCGCGCCGAGGAACGUCCGGGCUCCGCAGGGCAGGGCGGUGGGUAACACCCACCCGGAGCAAUCCGCGAGACAGUGCCACAGAGAGCAGACCGCCGGCAGCAGCCGGUAAGGGUGAAAGGGUGGUGUAAGAGACCACCGGGGGCGCGGUGACGCGCCCCGCACGGUAAACCUCGCCCGGAGCAAGGCCAGACAGGGGAUGUUGACGCGGCCCGCCGAGUCCCCGGGUAGGCCGCUGGAGCGUCACGGCAACGUGACGCCGAGAGAGAUGACCGUCACCGGGGUUCGCCCCCGGGACAGAACCCGGCGUAUCGGCCGGCCCAUUCG